Long non-coding RNA from Hippocampus zosterae (dwarf seahorse), 706 nucleotides. RefSeq lists it as uncharacterized. NCBI's taxonomy places the organism in Eukaryota, Metazoa, Chordata, Actinopteri, Syngnathiformes, Syngnathidae. The transcript has 2 exons. The record is from RefSeq and is a predicted model, not a curated record.
GGUGCCAUGGUACAGCAACGUGAGUCCACGUGGAAAAUUUGAUCUGAGCAAAGUUCGGAUUUAGCUUUAGUUUUUUUCUUUCCUUUUUGUUUUUAAUCCAAUAUUCGUUGUUGCAGUCCUUGUUCAAAUGAAGGCCGAACGAUUUAUUUAACCAGGGCUGGGUUUAGGAAGGAGCAAGAGGGGGCCUGGCCCCCUCAAAUAAAUAUUUUGCCCCUACCCCAACCAAAUCCCCUAAGUAUAUUAUAUUUCACAUAUUUUUAUUAUCUCAUGCCACUUUCUUUUGCUCCACUUAUCACUGUCUUUAUCUCUUACUUGCUAAUUGCAGGAUACCAUGGUGCCUGGGCCUUUGUUGUGGACAUGCCGAAUGGUCUCAUUCAGUACAACUACAUUACGUAACUGUUAAGUUGUUUGUUAGGCUAAUAGGUUUUGUUUUAUUUCUUGAUUUUUUUUUAAUUUCCAAAGGGUACUAUAGAAUUUUUUAUGCCAUUUUUUUUCUCAAAAACAUCCCCCUAUAGGUACAGCGGAUACAUUGGUAGGAGACAGAGAGGAAGGCCAAAGAGGAGAUCCAUGGAUGCCGUGAGGGAAGACAUGCAGGUAGUUGGAGUCAGAGUAGAGGAUGCAGAGAACAGGGAAAGAUGGAAAUUAAUGACUCGCUGUGGCAACCCCUGAGAAGGGACAAGCCAAAAGGAGAAGAAGAAGAAGAAGA